RNAcentral lists this long non-coding RNA (744 nucleotides) under Numida meleagris (helmeted guineafowl). RNAcentral describes it as "lncRNA (ENSNMEG00000000652.1)". Lineage: Eukaryota; Metazoa; Chordata; Aves; Galliformes; Numididae. The record is from RNAcentral.
GGGGGGUUGGGGACCCCCAAGUGGCGUUGGGGACCCAUAAGUGACAUUGGGGACCCAUAAGUGACAGUGGGGAAGAUUGGGGACCCAUAAGUGACAGUGGGGGACAAUGGGGGACCCAUAAGUGACAUUGGGGACCCAUAAGUGACAGUGGGGGACAUUGGGGACCCAUAAGUGACAGUGGGGGGCAUUGGGGACCCAUAAGUGACAGUGGGGGGCAUUGGGGACCCCCAAGUGACAUUGGGGACCCAUAAGUGACACUGGGACCCCCAAGUGACAGUGGGGACCCAUAAGUGACACUGUGGGACAAUGGGGGACCCCCAAGUGGCAUUGGGGGACCCAUAGGUGACAUUGGGGGACCCCAAAGUGGCAUUGGGGGGCACUGGGGGACCCAUAAGUGACAUCAGGGACCCCCAAGUGACGUGGGGGGACGUGGGGGACCCAUAAGUGACAUCAGGGACCCAUAAGUGACACUGGGGUCUCCUAAGUGACAGUGGGGGACCCCCAAGUGACAUUGGGGACCCAUAAGUGACAUUGGGGGGGCAUUGGGGGACCCCUAAGUGACACUUGGGGACAAUGGGGGACAUUGGGGACCCAUAAGUGACAGUGGGGGACCCAUAAGUGACAUCGGGGACCCCAAGGGGACAUUGGGGACCCAUAAGUGACACCGGGGACCCCUAAGUGACACUGGGGACCCCUAAGUGACACUGGGGACCCAUAAGUGACACUGGGGGGCACUGGGGGACA